Molecule: ribosomal RNA, 820 nt
Filed under: Salmonella enterica
Lineage: Bacteria; Pseudomonadati; Pseudomonadota; Gammaproteobacteria; Enterobacterales; Enterobacteriaceae
Description: partial 23S ribosomal RNA
Rfam family: Bacterial large subunit ribosomal RNA
Source: RNAcentral
AGACCCGAAACCCGGUGAUCUAGCCAUGGGCAGGUUGAAGGUUGGGUAACACUAACUGGAGGACCGAACCGACUAAUGUUGAAAAAUUAGCGGAUGACCUGUGGCUGGGGGUGAAAGGCCAAUCAAACCGGGAGAUAGCUGGUUCUCCCCGAAAGCUAUUUAGGUAGCGCCUCGUGAAUUCAUCUCCGGGGGUAGAGCACUGUUUCGGCUAGGGGGCCAUCCCGGCUUACCAACCCGAUGCAAACUGCGAAUACCGGAGAAUGUUAUCACGGGAGACACACGGCGGGUGCUAACGUCCGUCGUGAAGAGGGAAACAACCCAGACCGCCAGCUAAGGUCCCAAAGUCAUGGUUAAGUGGGAAACGAUGUGGGAAGGCCCAGACAGCCAGGAUGUUGGCUUAGAAGCAGCCAUCAUUUAAAGAAAGCGUAAUAGCUCACUGGUCGAGUCGGCCUGCGCGGAAGAUGUAACGGGGCUAAACCAUGCACCGAAGCUGCGGCAGCGACGCUGAUGCGUUGUUGGGUAGGGGAGCGUUCUGUAAGCCUGCGAAGGUGGCCUGUGAGGGUUGCUGGAGGUAUCAGAAGUGCGAAUGCUGACAUAAGUAACGAUAAAGCGGGUGAAAAGCCCGCUCGCCGGAAGACCAAGGGUUCCUGUCCAACGUUAAUCGGGGCAGGGUGAGUCGACCCCUAAGGCGAGGCCGAAAGGCGUAGUCGAUGGGAAACGGGUUAAUAUUCCCGUACUUGGUGUUACUGCGAAGGGGGGACGGAGAAGGCUAUGUUGGCCGGGCGACGGUUGUCCCGGUUUAAGCGUGUAGGCUGGUUUU